AAUUAAUCAAUUUCGAUUCCUAGUAGAAUUAGAGUCUAGGAAUGCCCCGAUCAUGUUCACUUUGCAAUCAUAUCCCUAACGUUCAUUUUCACUUAUUUAACUAUGGUUAAGACUGUUAUUUUUAUGUGCCUUGAAUUUUAAAUAAGUCUUCAUGGACCCGAAUUGUAAUCUGAUUUGAAAGUUUUGCAUUGUAACUCGAUUGGAAUAAAAAAAGAGGUAUGCG
RNAcentral lists this unclassified non-coding RNA (223 nucleotides) under Hevea brasiliensis (rubber tree). Lineage: Eukaryota; Viridiplantae; Streptophyta; Magnoliopsida; Malpighiales; Euphorbiaceae. The record is from RNAcentral.